Schistocerca serialis cubense is the source of this 313-nucleotide long non-coding RNA. RefSeq lists it as uncharacterized. NCBI's taxonomy places the organism in Eukaryota, Metazoa, Arthropoda, Insecta, Orthoptera, Acrididae. The record is from RefSeq and is a predicted model, not a curated record. The transcript is spliced from 2 exons.
CUAGCCAAUACAUGGACUAUUUGACAGCAAGAUCACAGCUACGUGUUAUUAUUUGCAGCGAAUUAGCUGUGGGGCACGAAAGCAAAUGUGCGUGGCUUGACCUUAUGAGUGCAUUAAGCUAUUCUUUUUCAACAGAGCCAUUCAUAGCCCAAAUACCUACAUUACAACAGAGGAGAACAUGGGUGACUGGAAUAUUGUAAGAAGGUAUCACCACAACGAGGAAUGUUCUUGUUUUAAUUAUUGCCAUCCCAGCUUACUUAUAUCUGUGACACUUUCUUCCCUAUUUCAUGAUAAUACAAAAUGAGCUGCACUU